Homo sapiens (human) is the source of this 1142-nucleotide long non-coding RNA. Lineage: Eukaryota; Metazoa; Chordata; Mammalia; Primates; Hominidae. The record is from Ensembl.
GCCCUCGCUCGGGCUGGGCCAGGGCGGCGAUUGCGUCCACAAUACCGUGCAUUCAUUACGCUCCUUAAAAACAGUGUUGUGUGUCUGGAGAACAGGAAGUGGCCGUAAGUCCCCCGUGUAAAAGCCAUCUGAAGCCACGGACCAGUUACUUGGAAGGAAUAAACACACCCCUGCACACCGAGGCACAGAAGCCUGGCCUUCCCAGCUCAGAGAGUCCUUGGUGGCAAUUUGAGAUGAAACGGCCGUGAUCGAAGAGAGAAAGUGGAGGCGAGGCUUAGCGUCCCACAGAGCAGAGGCCGCUGGUUCCCCGGGAUGGAGGGGCCAGGAGUGAAGACAGCCAUACCAGGCCUGAAUCGCCGGCUCAGGAGACAGAGGCCAGGGCCCAUAGGAGAGGAAGCUCCCGGGUAAGCUCUUCACAGUGCCUAGGCAUUCUGUCUUUGUGCUCCUACAAAACCAGGCUUAUGUUUGCAAAGCGUUGGGAGAAGUCGGAGUUCCCUGGGAACAUCGUGUAUACCAAACAGGGACGCCUUGGAGGAGGGCCCACAGGAUGGGAGAUCCCCAGGCAUCUCCCCAGAAAGCUGAGAAUUCAAAGAAGGACCGAGGCAGAUUUCUGAAUGUUUCCUUGCUCUGUCUUCUCAUCCACACUUUGUUCUGGGGUUGAGGAGGGUGUGGAGUUGGGAAUCCAACCCAAGGCUCCUGGCCUCUCUGCAGACCCCAGAGUCUGCUCAGGAAGCCACAAAACCAGUGCCCACACCAGCAUGUGCCACUCAGGAGAGGAGAAUUCAGGAGGAACGGAAGGCCUGCUCCCCACGGCUCGGCUCCAGGCCAUCUUCCUUCUUGAUGGGGACACCUCCUGCCUUGGAGAGAGGUGGGAACCAGCAUCUGGGAGACCCAGCUGGUGGGGCAACCAGUGAGGAUGGGGAAGUCAUGUUCAUUUGGCUCAUAGUGACAAGCCGGCCAUGGCAUAUACUCUGCUGCUUGCAACGAUUCCAGAGGCCAGCACGAUUCCUCCCUCCACCCCAGGUUUCGCCACAGAAAUGCCUGAUCUGCCCAAGGCCACCCUGCCAGGGACAGUGGUUACUGAUGUUGCCUGCUCUGCAUCCACCGUAGCACAGGGGGAAGGAUGCCUGCCCAAUCCAUGG